CUUAGCUCAAUUGGCAGAGCAACUGAUUUGUAAUCAGUAGGUUGUUGGUUCGAUUCCGAUAGAC
Molecule: transfer RNA, 64 nt
Filed under: pig gut metagenome
Rfam family: tRNA
About the family: Transfer RNA (tRNA) molecules are approximately 80 nucleotides in length. Their secondary structure includes four short double-helical elements and three loops (D, anti-codon, and T loops). Further hydrogen bonds mediate the characteristic L-shaped molecular structure. tRNAs have two regions of fundamental functional importance: the anti-codon, which is responsible for specific mRNA codon recognition, and the 3' end, to which the tRNAs corresponding amino acid is attached (by aminoacyl-tRNA synthetases). tRNAs cope with the degeneracy of the genetic code in two manners: having more than one tRNA (with a specific anti-codon) for a particular amino acid; and 'wobble' base-pairing, i.e. permitting non-standard base-pairing at the 3rd anti-codon position.
Source: RNAcentral